Molecule: long non-coding RNA, 3988 nt
Organism: Bolinopsis microptera
Lineage: Eukaryota; Metazoa; Ctenophora; Tentaculata; Lobata; Bolinopsidae
Exons: 3
Source: RefSeq, a predicted model, not a curated record
UAUUCAGUGUCUAGUGUUUAUAUAUGAGACAAUUGUUAAGUGAUAUGUGACUCAGUUUAGUGCAACGUGGAGUCGUUAAAUCAGCUACCCAAAACACAGAAAUCGACAUACAGAGAAUAAUGUUAAAUCGAAGAACAAAAGCCGAUUACAUCAGCAAAUAAAGAUAAAGUUCUCUUCAAAAACGAUGUCGGAAAAAGAUCUAUCAAUAUCUGGAUCAGUUGCUAUCACGAUUUGCUAUGGUAUCGUCGGUGCAUUUUUUAUGUUAAACUUUUUGUCAAGAAGAAGAUAUAACUACCCUUUACUCAAAAAGAAGAUUUAUGAAAUCCGGUUAUUUAUCACAAAUGCAAAACGAAAAUACAUCGAUGAUUGGUUGACAAAGCUGAAGAGGGACGGUGAAGAUAUCCGUGCAAACUACCUCCCAUCAUCGGAACCACUACCAAAAGAUCAGCCAUAUAAAUACUACCCUAUCAUGAUCCCACCAACACCUCUCUCACAGUAUGUUGACAGAAUGAAUAUGAAACUUCUAAAUGAACUGAAGAAAAAGGAUAGGGUAAAAAAGGAUAGGGUAAAGCGUAUCAUAAAACAACGAUUAGAUUCCAAGGACGGUUACGAGGCCGAAGUGGAAGUUUUUCGGGCCCUUGAAAGAUUGAAACUGAACGAGAACAUGAUAUUCGUUCUGCAUAGUUUGAAGUACAGUCAGAGGGAUUAUCAUUAUUUUGUUGGAGAAGCACAACAAGGAGAGUGUGAUUUUAUCAUAAUGGGAAGGAACUAUUUCGUCAUCAUAGAAGUUAAGAAAAAUCAUGCAGACGUGAAGAAGGCUAUGGAUCAAGCUAAACGAACUGAGAAGCUUAUUGCAGGCAUUAUGGCUCAAAUUACUGAUAAAGUAGUACCUCAGAUUUUGAACUUCGCUGCAUGUCCCUUCUUCGCAGGGAAAUUGAAAGAUGCGAAAACUAUAACAAAAGAAGAUCUAAAAGAUGACAGGAGCUUUUAUUCAUGGUGGGAAAAAAACGUUAUCGACAAAGUAGAUCAGCAAACUUCUUCUAUGUAUAAUGAAAAAACUCGAGACAUUCUUAUCGCGUUGUGGGCCAUGAAUAAAAACAAUAAAUGUGAGAAAGAAAGGUGCUCCUUGGAGUGGAACGUACUGAAGAUUGAUAAGGAACUAAAAGAUGGCCUGAUCACAUUUGAGCCGAAAAAAGACACGGGGACAGCAAGCCUAGAUGUUGUUGAAGCACCCGAGGUAAUCAGAAAAUAUUGUGGAGUUAAGUACCUGACAACAGAGCAAAAUAAAGUAUGGCAACGUUUCGGUUUUCUAAGAUACAAAACAGAGCAAAAUACGGUAUUUCAGUGUCUCGGUUUACAAAAAUACAACGUAUUUGAACGCUCACUAAGAUACAAAAUAGAUCAUCAAGAUAGGGUAUCUGAAUUUGUAUUAAGAAUAUACGAAGAGGUGAUACUAGGAUCAAAUCGUGAAGAUGAGUUAUAUGAACGUUUAAAAAUACACAAAACAGAGGAAGAUAAGGUAUUUAAACGUUUUCAUGGAUACCAAAAAGAUGAAGAAAAUGAGUUAUUUGAACGGUUACUAAGAUACAAAACAGAAGAAGAAAGUUCUCUGAGAGACCACACAGAGGAAGAUGAGUUAUAUGAACGUUUACUAAGAUACAAAACAGAGGAAGAUAAGGUAUUUGAAUGUUUUCUAAGAUACAAAACAGAAGAAGAUAAGGUAUUUGAACGUUUACUAAGUUCUGAUACACUGAUACUCCUUACUGAUAUUCCUUACAACGACAAAUUUAGAAAUGAGUUUGAAGUUUUGCUAAAACUCAAAACAGAGAAAGAUUUGGUAUUUGAACGUUUGCAAAAAUACAAAACAGAGGAAGAUAAGGUAUUUAAACCUUUACUAAGAGACAAAACAGAGUUAUUUCAACAUGCAUUAAGAUCCCACAUACCAUUUCUAGUAUGGAUUGAUGGACCAGCUGGGAGUGGGAAAACUGUGCUUCUGGCAGGGAGACUGCUACAACUAGCUCUGCAAUUAGAUACAGUACAGAGAAGUGUUGUUUUCAAAUUCAUUGAAGGAAACAGCGACACUGACUCUACAGAAGGAGAAGAACACCUUACAAUAUAUCAAAGAGCAUGUCAGGAAGCAGGCGUGGAUGUCAAGCUUAUCUUUCCUUCUAACUCUGGAGAAAUACAUUCAUUGGCAGAGCAGAUAAUGAACAGUAAUAAAACUGUAACAAUUAUAGAGUUGAAAUAUGUUGAUAUCAAAUAUCUGAAAUAUACAUUUGCUAAUCUUGAGUGCUUUCAGCGGAAUGUGAUUAUAGAUGAUUUUCAGUGCCUGUUACGUUGGUAUGACAAAGCUGGUAUCGGUGACCUGCUGAAUAAACUGAACAGAUUUUAUAGAGUUUCGGGGUUAAGUCUGCUAAUAGCAUGUGAUCUAGGACAGUGGUAUUGGCGUGACAGCAAAUAUAUUGAAAGUGUAAGAAAUUGCAUUGAAAGGUAUUGGGCUUUUGAAAAACAGGAGUUAAAAAAGAAUCUUAGGAACACUUGUGAUAUAUCAGAUAUUUUAUCCGUUUUUAGAGAUAAAUACAUAGAAUGUGCGCUAGACUGUGACAUGUUACCGAAGCAACUUCCGGGUCAUUUCAUCCGAGGCCCACUAACUGAAUUUCAUAUAUUUGAAAAGUUUGAUCGUGAUUUAAUCACGAUAAAAUUUAAAUUUAAUCAAGAAUUGAUCAAGUUAUGCAGAAUUAACGAUUCAGAUAAUUCUAAAUAUGGGACCGUAGUUUACAAUCAUGUUGGCGAAGCACUAAUUGAAAGCAUAUCGGAUGUGAAUAAAGAAAAGAUAAAGGUGUGUCACUGUGCACAAAUCAACUCAGCUGAAUGGCCGGCUGUUCUUGUGGUACAUAAUAUAUGGGGCGAUGGCUUUGAAAAAGAGGACUUUACUCAACUUUAUCUUAUGAUAUCACGAGCUCGGGUAAAAUGUUCCGUUUUGAUGUAUAGAAGAGGAUGGCCGUGGCGAAUGAAUAAAAUGUUAGUAGAAAAAAUAGAACCUUUGGCUUGUGUUAUCAAAUAUUAGAUUUCUUUCUUAUUUGCUAACAGUGCAUGGGAGCCUUUCAGUUCAGAGACCGGGACAUUCUGACCGUAGGAUACAUUCUGACCGUAAGAUACUAAAGACUUCAGGGUCCAUUUUUUCUCGAUGUUCAAGAACGUCAAAUAUAUGAACAGCUUCUGAAGCUGUGGCAUGUUUGAUCGAUACUAAAGACCUGCAGGCAGUGUUGAACUGAGACCGAUGAAAGUGACAUUAGCUUGUGCGGCAUCUGCAGUGAAAUUAGUCCUUUCUCGAGCAAGUAAUCUAAAGAAAUCUCAAUCAGCCAUAAAAUGUACCACACUUGGUUACAUCACACCUGACAGAAACAGGGAGGAGAGAACAGCUCAUCAGAAACUUUUUCUCAAAAUAAAGGAUAUGAUCAUUGCUGAGCCAAAAAAGUAUCACUAUCUUAAGCAGGAUUUUAAGUAUAGAUAAGACAGUUACUGUCACCAAGAUAGUACUAUUAGUCACCAAGGUGUAACAAUCAGCGCAUUGGUUAUCUAUAGUACUUUGUUUUGAGUGUAUGUAAGCAUGUACAACUGUUAACUGAUUCGUAAAUUUGAUGAUUUUUUGUGAACACUUUUUUAAAUGAGGAACUUUUUUGUGAGUCUUAAAACUGCAACCGUGAUUGUAACUCAGGUAUGUGAUGACUUGUGGAUCGCACAUCGCUGAAUAGCAAUCGCGAAGCAGGUUUCACCCAGGUCAGGUUUGUCUAGGCUAUUCUCUGAGGGCACACUGUGUUUAUGUUUUGUGUUGUGUGCCAAGGUACAUCGUUUGAUUUUAUAUAUUUUCGUAUGUCUUACAGUUACCGGUAUCAAUAUUCAAUAUCUAUCAUAUAUAUUCUAUGUGAUUCAAUUAUUUUUCGAGUAAACAUUAAUCGGGGAACCAAAACCCGAUUCCCAAUCAAUC